UUAACGGCUUCCCUCCGGCACCUAGCGCCCUCGAGGAGCGCUAGAACACCUGGCCCGCAUGCUUUACAGCUAGGACUACCGGGGUAUCUAAUCCCGUUCGCUCCCCUAGCCUUCGCCCCUCACCGUCAGUACCGUUCUGGUCGGACGCCUUCGCCACUGGUGGUCCCCCCAGGAUUAGAGCAUUUCACCGCUACCCCAGGAGUACCUCCGACCUCUCCCGGCCUCAAGACCAACAGUAUCCCUUGCACGCCGAACCGUUGGGCGGCCCGAAUUUCACAAGGGACUUGCUAGCCCGGCUACGAGCGCUUUAGGCCCAAUAAUCGCGGCCACCACUUGGGCUGCUGGU
RNAcentral lists this ribosomal RNA (346 nucleotides) under uncultured bacterium. Its description in RNAcentral is "partial 16S ribosomal RNA". The record is from RNAcentral.